UUUGUAAAUACUCUCUUAUGUUCUUUACCACUGGUGUAUCUCAUACAAACAUUAAUAAGUGCUUCCAUAGAAACUCUCAGGCUCCUCCCCCCACCCGUUGCUCUUGGUCCUGCAUUUGUUUGAGUUCUGCACCUUGAAGCAGUCAUUAACAGAAAAAUUGAUGGAUUCAUAAAAUUGUAGUGGCUUCUUCUUAAUGGAACAUAUUUCAGUGAGACUGCCAUGGGAUAACAACAACAACAACAACAACAACAACAUACCCAGUAUUAUCCCACACCGUGGGGUCUGGGGAGGGUAGUGUGUACGCAGACCUUACCCCUACCUUAUGAGGAUAGAGACUGCCAUGGGAUGAGGGGAACCAAAUUGGCCUUGUCUAUUUGGUGGCAUGGCUCGUCAAAGGUACUUGUGGUGAUAUGUUUCUCCUUUUAGCUUUAUAAAUUAGCUGCCUUUAGUCACUUCAUAAACAAUGAGCUGUCUUUAGUAUUUUCUAUCUUCUAGUUGAAACAGGAGUAAUCAAGUGGUUUAGCUUGUGUGCUUGUUUCAUAUUCAAUUUUGAGUAGUUCAAUAGGAAUGGAUCAUAGAUAUCCAUCCUCAGGACAGAUCUUACUCUUUCCCUUUUCUCAUCCUUACUGAGUUAACUUUGCGAUGGAAAUUAUCAUAACUGCAUCAAAUUUGGGUAAUAUGAUUAUGUGCAUAGGAGUAUCAUUACUACCAUUAGCUUGCUUAUUGUUCUCUAGUCUCAUAUAUUCAGACAACUUAUUUACUGUCCAUGAACGAUAGUAGCAUAAAGUUUUACUGAGCUUAGAAGUGAUUCGCAUCAUGGAUAAUCCUAUAGAAUUCAAUGGUGGUGUUGUUGCCUUUAUAACAAUACAUUUUCUCCAUUGCAAGUAAUUAAAAAUAAAUUAGUUCUAUUUAUCAAAAACAAAAAUCAAUUUCUCCUAAGACUUAAUUGGAGGAGUUAUGUUAGUCAGGUAAAAGGAUAUUCUUCAGCUACCCGAGCGAUUCUAGGGCAUAUAUUUCUACGUAUAAAGAAAACUAGCUGUAAUUGUCCACAUAUAAUGGUCUUAACUCCCUAAAAGAAACAAAGGAGAUAAACAUAUCAGUCCCGUCUCUCCUGUCUUUAGAGGAAAAUUGAGGAUGAAGUUAGAUAUAUUAUGACAAACUUUUAUCUCUUAUGAGCUUCUGUUGGGUUCUAGGAAGUUACUGUCAUUAGAGUUUUAUUCCUUUUUAUAGGUCAAAUAAAUUUCUACUCUUCCAAUAUCCAUAUUGACGUCCAAAUGGUCUUUGCAUCACCACCCCUCAAACAGGAGGUUAUGGUAAGACUUCUUGGAGAAUCAUUUGAAAAGGUCAUCUUCCAUUCCUUCUUAUCGCCGUAACUCUGUAAAGCUUAUAUACCUGUGAGGAAAUCUUUCCACAUUGUCAAUUUUCAGUGUUAUAUACUUGUCUAAUUCUUUUUUGGUUGACAGUCUCAUUCCUUAUUAUGAAUCUCCAACUACGGCUUCCUUUGCAGUUGUGAUUCCAAAGAGACGAGAAAAUUCAGCUGUUAGAACGGUAUGACCAAGCCAACAUUGAAUACAGUUUUCAUUCCUAAAAGAGAUUCCUAUGAACCUCAUGAAAUCCUUUCUCUUCAUAAUCUUUUCCAUUAAGCU
This 1646-nucleotide long non-coding RNA is filed under the name Nicotiana tabacum (common tobacco). RNAcentral describes it as "long non-coding RNA (NTAB_LNC002109)". Lineage: Eukaryota; Viridiplantae; Streptophyta; Magnoliopsida; Solanales; Solanaceae. The record is from RNAcentral.